GGAGAGGUGCCAGAGCGGCCGAAUGGGCCGGUCUCGAAAACCGGUGUGGGGCUUGCCCCACCGCGGGUUCGAAUCCCGCCCUCUCCG
Molecule: transfer RNA, 87 nt
Filed under: Planctomycetota bacterium
Lineage: Bacteria; Pseudomonadati; Planctomycetota
Also listed under: 1 other name
Description: Planctomycetes bacterium tRNA-Ser
Rfam family: tRNA
About the family: Transfer RNA (tRNA) molecules are approximately 80 nucleotides in length. Their secondary structure includes four short double-helical elements and three loops (D, anti-codon, and T loops).
Source: RNAcentral